GACGAACGCUGGCGGCGUGCUUAACACAUGCAAGUCGAGCGGUAAGGCCCUUUCGGGGGUACACGAGCGGCGAACGGGUGAGUAACACGUGGGUGACCUGCCCUCAGCUCUAGGAUAAGUCUGGGAAACCGGGUCUAAUACUGGAUAUGACUCCAUGACGCAUGUUGUGGGGUGGAAAGCCUUGUGCGGCUGAGGAUGGGCCCGCGGCCUAUCAGCUUGUUGGUGGGGUGAGGCCUACCAAGGCGACGACGGGUAGCCGGCCUGAGAGGGCGACCGGCCACACUGGGACUGAGACACGGCCCAGACUCCUACGGGAGGCAGCAGUGGGGAAUAUUGGACAAUGGGCGAAAGCCUGAUCCAGCGACGCCGCGUGGGUGAAGAAGGCCUGCGGGUUGUAAAGCCCUUUCAGUGGGGAAGAAAAGCCUCGACCUAACACGUCGGGGUCUUGACGUAACCCAUAGAAGAAGCACCGGCUAACUCUGUGCCAGCCGCCGCAGUAAU
RNAcentral lists this ribosomal RNA (501 nucleotides) under uncultured bacterium. RNAcentral's name for it is "bacterial SSU rRNA". It matches the Rfam family "Bacterial small subunit ribosomal RNA", at positions 28 to 524 of the family's 1533-position model. The record is from RNAcentral.